CUGCGAAGGUGUACUGUGAGGUAUGCUGGAGGUAUCAGAAGUGCGAAUGCUGACAUAAGUAACGAUAAUGCGGGUGAAAAACCCGCACGCCGGAAGACCAAGGGUUCCUGUCCAACGUUAAUCGGGGCAGGGUGAGUCGACCCCUAAGGCGAGGCUGAAAAGCGUAGUCGAUGGGAAACGGGUUAAUAUUCCCGUACUGGUGGUAACUGCGAUGGGGGAACGGAGAAGGCUAGGUUGUCCGGGCGACGGUCGUCCCGGUUCAAGCAGGUAGGCAGAGUGAUUAGGCAAAUCCGGUCACUUAAUGCUGAGAUGUGAUGACGAACCACCAAGGUGGUGAAGCAAUUGAUGCCCCGCUUCCAGGAAAAGCCUCUAAGCUUCAGGUUACCAACAAUCGUACCCCAAACCGACACAGGUGGUCAGGUAGAGAAUACUCAGGCGCUUGAGAGAACUCGGGUGAAGGAACUAGGCAAAAUGGUGCCGUAACUUCGGGAGAAGGCACGCUGGCGGUAGGUAAAGUCCCU
This 521-nucleotide ribosomal RNA is filed under the name Proteus mirabilis. RNAcentral's name for it is "partial 23S ribosomal RNA". It matches the Rfam family "Bacterial large subunit ribosomal RNA", at positions 1248 to 1770 of the family's 2925-position model. The record is from RNAcentral. Lineage: Bacteria; Pseudomonadati; Pseudomonadota; Gammaproteobacteria; Enterobacterales; Morganellaceae.